CGUCUUGAAACACGGACCAAGGAGUCUAGCAUGUGCGCGAGUCAUUGGGAGACAAUACACCCAGAGGCGCAAUGAAAGUGAAAGCGUCGCCCGCCUCGGCGGACGGUCGCGCAGGGAAGAUGCGCGGGCGGCGUCCGCCGCCCCGCCGCAUUCCCGAGGCGUUUCGAGAAAGCCACCGCGCGAUUAUCGAGACGCACUGAGAGCGUACACGCUGGGACCCGAAAGAUGGUGAACUAUGCCUGGUCAGGUCGAAGUCAGGGGAAACCCUGAUGGAGGACCGAAGCGAUUCUGACGUGCAAAUCGAUCGUCGGAACUGGGUAUAGGGGCGAAAGACUAAUCGAACUAUCUAAUAGACUGAGUCCU
This 363-nucleotide ribosomal RNA is filed under the name Glossosoma nigrior. RNAcentral describes it as "eukaryotic LSU rRNA". It matches the Rfam family "Eukaryotic large subunit ribosomal RNA", at positions 650 to 959 of the family's 3401-position model. Lineage: Eukaryota; Metazoa; Arthropoda; Insecta; Trichoptera; Glossosomatidae. The record is from RNAcentral.